Molecule: long non-coding RNA, 945 nt
Organism: Malus domestica (apple)
Lineage: Eukaryota; Viridiplantae; Streptophyta; Magnoliopsida; Rosales; Rosaceae
Source: RefSeq, a predicted model, not a curated record
UUUUAGGCCAAUUCCUACCAUUUCUCUUCUGAUUUUUCCUAUCUUCUUCACCUGCAAUUUGCUCAACUACCUUCCUCAUUCCCUCUCUACCAAAAAUUAAGGGUUUUUAAGGUCUAUUUCACGUAGAACUCUAUAGGAGAACCCGAGGGUUCUCGACGACGAAUUGUCAUUCCGGAGAGUAUCACCAUUCACCAUCACCCUUAAUCAACUUCCCUUGGACCCAAGAACAAGACCCAAUUGGUGGUUGGGGCAUUGGAACACAAAGGAAGCCGAAUUGAAGAACACCCACCUUAGGGUUUCGUUGGGUGCGAGCCAAUUUGAGGGCCUUCCUAGCCAAAUUGGACUCGGCCACAGGCACUGAUCGUACAUGUGACAGGUUUGAGUAGACUCCGAGAAGUUUGUAGGUGGGGGUAGCAGUGCAGUUAUCAGAGACUUGGAGCUUUAGACAUUAUGACGACCCCACACGGUACUACUCAGCAGUUUGGGGAUGAUGUUCCCGACGAGGGCACUCUUGGUUUUGGUCAGGAGGCUAGCCAUGAUUAUGAUGGACCCGAUGGAGCUUUUCGGGCCAUCAUUUAACACAGUUGAUGCAGGCACACGUUCGUGCAACUCCUGGUAGGGAGAAGUCUUUGUACGGGGAGUUCCGUACCCAUAAGCCACCUUCUUUCGAUGGUAGUACUGAUCCGUAGGCGACAGAGUCUUGGAUCAAUCAGAUCGCCAGAAUUUUCACUGUAUUACGUUGUUCAUCCGAAGAGCAGGUUGAUCUUGCAGCGUAUAUGUUGACAGGUGAGGCUUACGAGUGGUGCCAUAUCACUCGUCCAUUAUUAGUAGCCUGGGGACCUCUUACUUGGGAUCAAGACGUGACAAUUGCAGUCCUAUUAGAUUAGGAAUGUGAUUGUGUAAAUCCUAGUAUAUCUUGGAAUAUCUCUUAUAUUCCUAUUAGGA